This 264-nucleotide ribosomal RNA is filed under the name uncultured bacterium. RNAcentral's name for it is "partial 16S ribosomal RNA". It matches the Rfam family "Bacterial small subunit ribosomal RNA", at positions 793 to 1055 of the family's 1533-position model. The record is from RNAcentral.
GUCCACGCCGUAAACGUUGGGAACUAGAUGUGGGGGCCAUUCCACGGCUUCCGUGUCGCAGCUAACGCAUUAAGUUCCCCGCCUGGGGAGUACGGCCGCAAGGCUAAAACUCAAAGGAAUUGACGGGGGCCCGCACAAGCGGCGGAGCAUGCGGAUUAAUUCGAUGCAACGCGAAGAACCUUACCAAGGCUUGACAUAUACGAGAACGCUUCAGAAAUGAAGAACUCUUUGGACACUCGUAUACAGGUGGUGCAUGGUUGUCGU